GACGAACCCUGGCGGCGUGCUUAACACAUGCAAGUCGAACGGAAAGGCCCUGCUUUUGUGGGGUGCUCGAGUGGCGAACGGGUGAGUAACACGUGAGUAACCUGCCCUUGACUUUGGGAUAACUUCAGGAAACUGGGGCUAAUACCGGAUAGGAGCUCCUGCUGCAUGGUGGGGGUUGGAAAGUUUCGGCGGUUGGGGAUGGACUCGCGGCUUAUCAGCUUGUUGGUGGGGCAGUGGCUUACCAAGGCUUUGACGGGUAGCCGGCCUGAGAGGGUGACCGGCCACAUUGGGACUGAGAUACGGCCCAGACUCCUACGGGAGGCAGCAGUGGGGAAUAUUGCACAAUGGGCGGAAGCCUGAUGCAGCAACGCCGCGUGCGGGAUGACGGCCUUCGGGUUGUAAACCGCUUUCGCCUGUGACGAAGCGUGAGUGACGGUAAUGGGUAAAGAAGCACCGGCUAACUACGUG
This 468-nucleotide ribosomal RNA is filed under the name uncultured bacterium. RNAcentral describes it as "partial 16S ribosomal RNA". It matches the Rfam family "Bacterial small subunit ribosomal RNA", at positions 28 to 507 of the family's 1533-position model. The record is from RNAcentral.